RNAcentral lists this ribosomal RNA (114 nucleotides) under Zingiber officinale. The record is from RNAcentral. Lineage: Eukaryota; Viridiplantae; Streptophyta; Magnoliopsida; Zingiberales; Zingiberaceae.
GCGAUCAUACCAGCACUAAUGCACCGUAUCCCAUCAGAACUCCGAAGUUAAGCGUGCUUGGGCGAGAGCUGUACUAGGAUGGGUGACCCCCUGGGAAGUCCUCGUGUUGCACCU